This 85-nucleotide transfer RNA is filed under the name Felis catus (domestic cat). It matches the Rfam family "tRNA". From Rfam's summary of the family: Transfer RNA (tRNA) molecules are approximately 80 nucleotides in length. Their secondary structure includes four short double-helical elements and three loops (D, anti-codon, and T loops). Further hydrogen bonds mediate the characteristic L-shaped molecular structure. tRNAs have two regions of fundamental functional importance: the anti-codon, which is responsible for specific mRNA codon recognition, and the 3' end, to which the tRNAs corresponding amino acid is attached (by aminoacyl-tRNA synthetases). tRNAs cope with the degeneracy of the genetic code in two manners: having more than one tRNA (with a specific anti-codon) for a particular amino acid; and 'wobble' base-pairing, i.e. permitting non-standard base-pairing at the 3rd anti-codon position. Lineage: Eukaryota; Metazoa; Chordata; Mammalia; Carnivora; Felidae. RNAcentral also lists the same sequence under 3 other names. The record is from Rfam by way of RNAcentral.
GCCUGGGUGGCUCAGUCGGUUGAGCAUCUGACUUUGGCUCAGGUCAUGAUCUCGCGGUUUGUGAGUUCAAGCCCCGCGUCGGGCU